UCAAAAUGUAGUUUAAUAAAAAUAUUAGCUUUGGGAGUUAGUGAUGCUAAGAUUAGCUAUUUUGAG
Molecule: transfer RNA, 66 nt
Filed under: Saxidomus purpurata
Lineage: Eukaryota; Metazoa; Mollusca; Bivalvia; Venerida; Veneridae
Description: Saxidomus purpuratus tRNA-Pro
Source: RNAcentral